RNA transcript from Asterias rubens (European starfish), 1257 nucleotides. It is a transcript of the gene named ZAR1-like protein, with no coding region annotated. The transcript has 4 exons. NCBI's taxonomy places the organism in Eukaryota, Metazoa, Echinodermata, Asteroidea, Forcipulatida, Asteriidae. The record is from RefSeq and is a predicted model, not a curated record.
UAUGCUUGCUGAUCAACAACCCAGUCAGUGUGGGAGAUGUCUGCUAAGCGUUGUGUUCUCAACUUGUCUGGAAAGCUCUUCGCUAUUUACCAGGAAAUCGCUGUCUAAAGAGGCGACCGAUUGCACACGGCACUCCUUCCUUUGCCAAGAAGAAGAAUCCUCGUCGACACAAACCCAGGACUGUAACUAUGCCAGGUAGUGACCAGCGCCGAUAUGGGUUCUUCACGUGCCCAACCUGCAAACGCGGAUGGGAGAGCUCAUGGGCUUGGUGUUACAAGGGAACUGAUAUUCCUUCCUCCGGUCAAGAGUGUAAGACUUGCCUUGUCAUGGUCAAACCGCACACGGUAGAGAAGCUGAAGUGUUCAUUGUGUGACCAACCCACCAACCUGUGUGACUGCGAACAGGACGAUUUGGACGAGCACCACAGUGACCUGAACAAGCCUCACCGCAGUGACCUGUGCGAAAAGUGCAAGAGAGGACAGCGUUGCGGCUACCGUAGAUAAUUAAUUCCCCAAUUAAACGAUUGAAAAUUAAGUUUGAUGUGGAUUCUAACGACCAAUUACCGGAAUGAAGAUUCACAGUGAGAUUGUAUCAUCUGGGUACGAGGCUGACGUAACCUCAUAGCAAGGGUCCAAUUUCAUAAAGCUGAUUAAGCACAAAGAAAUAGUUAUGCACACUAAAAUUAUGCUUACAGAAUAAGGAAACCAGCUAAAAUUACCAUUACGAUUGUGACUGGUAUCCCUGCUCAUUUAUGCUAAGCAGAAAACUAUUAAGCAUUGUUUACUGCUUUAAGGAACAUUACAGAUUUGGUAUGAAAAAAACUCGUCUAUAUAAGAUCACAGAUUUACCUAAAACUUACGAGGUCUAAUGGUGUGAUAGUAGAAAGCAUCCCUUGAAAUAUUUUUGUCUUAAAUGUCAUUAUUUGACGAGAACAAAAUUAAGCUAAUUUCACGAUUGGUGUUUACAAAUCCUAAACCGGCUCGCAAUUUGUUUUAUGCACUACGAAAUUGCCAUCGUCGUAGUGCUUUUUAAUGGAGAAUUUUUGUUUUUUAAAUCGAUUAAAAAAAGGGAAUCCUUUAAACAAACAAAAACAUCGGGAAAAUUUGUGAGCAUGGCAAUUUAAAUUUGCAGAAAAAAACCUUGGAUAAAAGGAGGACUCGUUGUACGAAUCCUAUAAGGGGGUUAUAGUUCCCUAAUAUGAUUUCAUUGUAAAUAAUUGUUCAGCACGUACAUAAAAGCUUGAUAUGGGAUAUGUUA